This 406-nucleotide ribosomal RNA is filed under the name uncultured bacterium. RNAcentral describes it as "partial 16S ribosomal RNA". It matches the Rfam family "Bacterial small subunit ribosomal RNA", at positions 29 to 526 of the family's 1533-position model. The record is from RNAcentral.
AUUGAACGCUGGCGGCAGGCCUAACACAUGCAAGUCGAGCGAGCGGCGGACGGGUGAGUAAUGUCUGGGAGACUGCCUGAUGGGGGGGGAGAACUGAUGGAGACGGUAGCUAAUACCGCAUACCAUCAGAUGUGCGCCGAUGGGAGUAGCUGGUGGGGGGGGGAAAGGCCCACCAAGGCGACGAUCAGUAGCGGGUGUGAGAGGAUGAUCCGCCACACUGGAACUGAGACACGGUCCAGACUCCUACGGGAGGCAGCAGUGGGGAAUUUUGGACAAUGGGCGAAAGCCUGAUCCAGCCAUGCCGCGUGUCUGAAGAAGGCCUUCGGGUUGUAAAGCACUUUUGGCAGGGAGGCGGUACCUACAGAAUAAGCACCGGCUAACUACGUGCCAGCAGCCGCGGUAAUUC